Molecule: ribosomal RNA, 252 nt
Filed under: uncultured bacterium
Lineage: Bacteria
Description: partial 16S ribosomal RNA
Rfam family: Bacterial small subunit ribosomal RNA
Source: RNAcentral
UACGGAGGAUGCGAGCGUUAUCCGGAUUUAUUGGGUUUAAAGGGUGCGCAGGCGGCACGGCAAGCCGGCGGUCAAAUCGCGGGGCUCAACCCCGCCCAGCCGUCGGAACUGCCGGGCUAGAGUGGGCGAGAAGUGCGCGGAAUACGUGGUGUAGCGGUGAAAUGCAUAGAUAUCACGCAGAACUCCGAUUGCGAAGGCAGCGCACCGGCGCCCUACUGACGCUCAGGCACGAAAGCGUGGGUAUCGAACAGG